GACGAACGCUGGCGGCGUGCUUAACACAUGCAAGUCGAACGGAAAGGCCCUGCUUUUGUGGGCUGCUCGAGUUGCGAACGGGUGAGUAACACGUGAGUUACCUGCCCUUGCCUUUGGGAUAACUUAAUGACACUUGAGCUAAUACCGCAUAGGAGCUCCUGCUGCAUGGUGGGGGUUGGAAAGUUUCGGCGGUUGGGAAUGGACUCGCGGCUUAUCAGCUUGGUGGGUAGGUAGUGUCUUACCAAGGCUUUGACGGGUAGCCGUGCUGCGAGGGUGACCGGCCACAUUGGGACUGGGAUACGGCCCAGACUCGUACGGGAGGCAGCGGUGGAGAAGAUUGCACAAUGGGCGGAAGCCUGAUGCAGCAACGCCGCGUGCGGGAUGACGGCCUGCGGGUUGGAAACUGCUUUCGCCUGAGACGAAGCGAGAGUGACGGUAAUGGGUAAAGAAGCACCGGCUAACUACGUG
This 468-nucleotide ribosomal RNA is filed under the name uncultured bacterium. RNAcentral's name for it is "partial 16S ribosomal RNA". It matches the Rfam family "Bacterial small subunit ribosomal RNA", at positions 28 to 507 of the family's 1533-position model. The record is from RNAcentral.